This 687-nucleotide ribosomal RNA is filed under the name Clavelina lepadiformis (light-bulb sea squirt). Its description in RNAcentral is "12S ribosomal RNA". The record is from RNAcentral. Lineage: Eukaryota; Metazoa; Chordata; Ascidiacea; Aplousobranchia; Clavelinidae.
AAAGUGUUGCAGCAGCUUAUAUAAAUAUAUUAACUAGUGAUAAUAACUUUAAUUUUUUUUAUUUUUUUUUAAGGUAUGAGGUUUAGGCAAUUAUUUAUUUACCUAGCAUAGUUUUUCACUCUGAUAAAUACUACUGUGCCAGCUAUCGCGGUUAUACAGGAAGAGUAAUUAUUAUUUUUAAAUGCUUUAUAAUACCGUUCUAUAUGUUUUUUUGUUUAAUAAUUAGCUUUACUUAGAAUAUAUUUUUUUUAAAAAAAAAAUUUGAAAAAUGGAUUAGAUACCCAUGUAUUUUUUUUUUUUUUUUUUAUUAGUAAAUUUAAAAUAAAUUUGCUAGACGGUGUCUUAUUAAUUACAGGGAAAUUUGUUUAUUUAAUCGAUAAUCCACGUUUUUUUUUAACCUUAUCUGAUCAGAUGUAUAUGUCCGUCAUGCAAACCUAUUAUUUUAUGUAUGUGCUAAUAAUAUUAAAUAUUUUUUGUCAGGUCCACAUGCACUUAUGGUAAGGAUAAAUGAGUUUUUAUAUAUGUAUUUUUUAUCAGUAAGAACGAAGAUCUGCAUGCAAACCUGUUAGUAAUUAAUUAAAUUUUUUAGUUUUUUAAUGAAAAAAAUUAAUAUAGAGUACUCACCGCCCGCUAUUUGGUAUAUGUACUAAGAAGGCGUAACAAGGUAGUCUAUCUAGAAGGAUAGAC